This is a long non-coding RNA of Mus spicilegus (steppe mouse), 429 nucleotides long. The record is from Ensembl. Lineage: Eukaryota; Metazoa; Chordata; Mammalia; Rodentia; Muridae.
CUCUUGGCUCCCAGCACCCACAGGAAAGAUGAGUGUCACUUGGUUCCCCUGAAAAGAAUUAAUUUGUAAAUGUCCAGGAAAGACAGAGAGAUUGGGGUCCCUGCCGGGAGAAGAAUCCAGGUUGCCCAUGACCUUUCUACCCACUACUCUCGAGUCUCCUUGGGACUCCUUCCAACCUAGACAUGAGCUACUGUUCUUGCACAGCCUCUGCUGAGUCUCAGUGGCUGUGGCUAUGAGAAGAGUUAAUUGGUGCACUCUCAGCCUGGGCACUGGGUAAGUGCACGAGGAACGCACUCCCCCCAUCCCUCUCAAGUACUUCUAGGCCUACUGCAGGAAGCUGAGCUGCCUCUGCUGACCAACCACUGAUUUCUUGGAGCAAGUGACUGCUGUUUCUCAGCAUUAAGGUGGUGUGGGUUAUAUUAUGUGGAG